Molecule: transfer RNA, 83 nt
Organism: Verticillium dahliae VdLs.17
Lineage: Eukaryota; Fungi; Ascomycota; Sordariomycetes; Glomerellales; Plectosphaerellaceae
Rfam family: tRNA
About the family: Transfer RNA (tRNA) molecules are approximately 80 nucleotides in length. Their secondary structure includes four short double-helical elements and three loops (D, anti-codon, and T loops). Further hydrogen bonds mediate the characteristic L-shaped molecular structure. tRNAs have two regions of fundamental functional importance: the anti-codon, which is responsible for specific mRNA codon recognition, and the 3' end, to which the tRNAs corresponding amino acid is attached (by aminoacyl-tRNA synthetases). tRNAs cope with the degeneracy of the genetic code in two manners: having more than one tRNA (with a specific anti-codon) for a particular amino acid; and 'wobble' base-pairing, i.e. permitting non-standard base-pairing at the 3rd anti-codon position.
Source: Rfam
CUCCGCGUGGCGCAAUGGUAGCGCGUAUGACUUCUACUAAUUGAGAUAUCAUAAGGUUGCGAGUUCGAGCCUCGCCGUGGAGU